AAUAAUAAUAAACAAAUAAUGGAUAAGCAAAAGACAAUGAGUGACAUGGUGAAUACAAGAAACAUUUAUUUGAAUGCAUGAUUUGAUACACUAAUUAUAGGGGUCCUUGCAAGCGCAAUCUGUGCCAAAUUCACCUGAGUUACAAUGAUCCAACUCAUUUACAUUACAAAAGAAUUAGGUGGGCAUGAGGAGCCACUGGCCGUUACAUGACCUUAAAAAACCUCAUUAGUCAUCCGGCAAUGAGCUGCUUAUUAUCGUGCAUACGGGUUCGAAACAAAGGGAUGACAAAACCGUGCACGCGAGAGCGCGCAAGGCACGUGAGCGUCAAACAACAAAAUAAUUCACCGUUUAUAACGUUACAACCAUGGCUGGACCAUGGCUGCGUGUCAGUUGCAUAAGCGUGUUGUAUAUACAGACGUAAAGCGUUAUAACACUUCAGUGAACACACUAGACAGACUCUUUGUCUAGCAAUGCUGUAAUGACAAUGAGCUCUCGGAUUGACUGUGGGUUAGGAUUGAUGAUUCUGGGAGAGGAUGCCAAAUCUCUGCCUUCAGACCCUUCUGAAGCUUCACAUGCCCCGAAGACAGGAUAGUUCUCAGGAAACGGCAUUGCAGGAAGCAUCCUGGCUGUGGGAGUUGGAGCACAUAUACUACUCCAUUUUGAUGAACAGCCACUGUGCUGAAAUGAAGAAAACUGGACAGUCCAACUCUGCUCAGUGCAGACUUAUAACCUUGCUAAAACAACAUUAGUGCUUUAAGCAAAAAGAAGGACAUGUCAAGUCUACAUGAGACUAGAAUCUGUCAUGAUUCUGACCUCGUGUCCUUGAUUUUUCCCUAGUCUUGAGGCAGGAUCAUGACAGACCCAUGUUUUGUGUACAAGCACAUGGCCUUGUCUUUGGGUCAUGUGCUUGUGUUGUCUCGUUCCCUUGCCCCGCCCCCCUUGUUAACCUAGUCGUGUCGUGAUUGCUAUCUGUGCCACCUGUCGUGUCUUAAUUGUUCCCCUAUUUAGCUUUCCUAGUGUGCUCUGUCUUACGUCGGUUCAUUGUGUUCCUCACCUGUGAUUAUUCCCUGGUAACCCCUUUGAGAUAUUGUGUCCUGUAUAACCGUGAGUGUUUACUUGUAGUUAGUGUUCUCUAGUUUUGAGUCUUUGUUUAUCUUGUCUAAUUAGUCCUGUUUAGUUAUUUUUUUUGUAUCUGCCCUAGUCCUUGUUUUCCCCCUCGUGGGUUUUGUUUUCCCCUUUUGUAUUAAUAAGUCCUGUGUGUAACCCGAUCCCUGUCUGCACCUGAGUUCCUCCCUUGCAAACCCUGACAGAAUGAACCGACCUCCAAGGAACUCAGCAGACAGGAGGCAAUGCUGGAUGUCAUCAGCCAGCAAGCGGGAUGGUUUUGAGGGCUCUCGCCUAGUGGUGU
Molecule: long non-coding RNA, 1408 nt
Organism: Carassius gibelio (silver crucian carp)
Lineage: Eukaryota; Metazoa; Chordata; Actinopteri; Cypriniformes; Cyprinidae
Exons: 3
Source: RefSeq, a predicted model, not a curated record